RNAcentral lists this ribosomal RNA (497 nucleotides) under uncultured bacterium. Its description in RNAcentral is "partial 16S ribosomal RNA". It matches the Rfam family "Bacterial small subunit ribosomal RNA", at positions 28 to 507 of the family's 1533-position model. The record is from RNAcentral.
GAUGAACGCUGGCGGCGUGCCUAAUACAUGCAAGUCGAGCGAACGGACGAGAAGCUUGCUUCUCUGAUGUUAGCGGCGGACGGGUGAGUAACACGUGGAUAACCUACCUAUAAGACUGGGAUAACUUCGGGAAACCGGAGCUAAUACCGGAUAAUAUUUUGAACCGCAUGGUUCAAAAGUGAAAGACGGUCUUGCUGUCACUUAUAGAUGGAUCCGCGCUGCAUUAGCUAGUUGGUAAGGUAACGGCUUACCAAGGCAACGAUGCAUAGCCGACCUGAGAGGGUGAUCGGCCACACUGGAACUGAGACACGGUCCAGACUCCUACGGGAGGCAGCAGUGGGGAAUCUUCCACAAAGGGCGAAAGCCUGACGGAGCAACGCCGCGUGAGUGAUGAAGGUCUUCGGAUCGUAAAACUCUGUUAUUGGGGAAGAAAAUAUGUGUAAGAAACUGUGCACAUCUUGACGGUACCUAAACAGAAAGCCCCGGCUAACUACGUG